Molecule: transfer RNA, 76 nt
Filed under: Pseudothermotoga hypogea DSM 11164 = NBRC 106472
Lineage: Bacteria; Thermotogati; Thermotogota; Thermotogae; Thermotogales; Thermotogaceae
Rfam family: tRNA
About the family: Transfer RNA (tRNA) molecules are approximately 80 nucleotides in length. Their secondary structure includes four short double-helical elements and three loops (D, anti-codon, and T loops).
Source: Rfam by way of RNAcentral
GGGGACGUGGUGCAGCCUGGUUUAGCAUGCCGGUCUGUCACACCGGUGGUCGCGGGUUCAAAUCCCGUCGUCCCCG